This 303-nucleotide ribosomal RNA is filed under the name uncultured bacterium. Its description in RNAcentral is "partial 16S ribosomal RNA". It matches the Rfam family "Bacterial small subunit ribosomal RNA", at positions 507 to 807 of the family's 1533-position model. The record is from RNAcentral.
AGCAGUCGCCGCGGGAAUACGUAGGGUGCAAGCGUUAAUCGGAAUUACUGGGCGUAAAGCGUGCGCAGGCGGUUUGUUAAGACAGAUGUGAAAUCCCCGGGCUCAACCUGGGAACUGCAUUUGUGACUGGCAAGCUAGAGUCUGGCAGAGGGGGGUGGAAUUCCGCGUGUAGCAGUGAAAUGCGUAGAUAUGCGGAGGAACACCGAUGGCGAAGGCAGCCCCCUGGGCCAACACUGACGCUCAUGCACGAAAGCGUGGGGAGCAAACAGGAUUAGAUACCCGCGUAGUCCCUGUCUCUUAUAC